Long non-coding RNA from Strongylocentrotus purpuratus (purple sea urchin), 1095 nucleotides. RefSeq lists it as uncharacterized. The transcript has 4 exons. The record is from RefSeq and is a predicted model, not a curated record. NCBI's taxonomy places the organism in Eukaryota, Metazoa, Echinodermata, Echinoidea, Camarodonta, Strongylocentrotidae.
GUAUGCAAAUGUCAAUGGUUGGUAACGCCCAUAAUAUGAAUAUUCAUGAGCUUGACUGAUAUUAUUAUCCUCUAUUCCAGGCACCUUUCCAUUUUGUGUUCUUUGUGCAUUCUUAUCAGAAAUCCUACGUGCGGUAAAUAAGUCUCUGUAUCACCAUUCUCCUUCUUAUUUGUAUGCAGAUUUGGUUAUAAUGAUUGAUAACUGUAAUCAUCCUCAUUAUUUUAAUAAGAAAUUUUUCUAUCUGUGAUGGAAGUUUUUAUGUACGAUUGCCUGAUCUGAAGACAAGACUUUCGCUGCAUGCAUAUUUAAUGUAUGACGUCACCCACACAGAGUGAGAGCUCGAGGUUUUCUUUGAAAGGUUGAUGGAAAAUGUAUGCAGAGACUUGUCGCAGUUAAUGCAGUACCAAAUGCUUGCUUUCUUGGAGUAUGUGCUUGAAACAAGAAUGUCCUGGAGAAAAUAGACCACCACAAGAGAAGGGAUUGAGAAGGAGGGCUUCCUGUUGACAGAUCAGGGGGUGCCUUGAGGUUCCACUCUUGAUGUUCUGCCCCUUACCUGAAAGCGAUGGCCUCUUGUGCCUGACAUAUUAGGAGCAAAGCACAAUGGACUGCUGGCUUAUUGGAAUUGGUUACAAAGAUACAAGUGGACUUGUCUGUAGUAGUUGCUGAAGAGGAGCAGUCAGCACAAGGAGCGUGUGCCUCCAAAACAACGUGGGAACUUCUCCCAAGUUCAUCUCAAAUCACAAGGCUCUUCAGGAAUCAAGAUGUAACAAUGGAGGUUGAGAAGGAGUUUGCGACCCUCCUGAUUUGGACUACUCGCUAUAUACAUUCUCAAACAAUGGAUUGUAGCACUUCUGCACAAAACUCAACAAGUCAUGAUUGAGGAAAAUGCAACAAAUACUCAGUUGAGCAUUGAUUUAUGUGACUGGUAUUAGGGUAGGAUUCAGCUUGGUAAUUUUAUAUAAACUAUGUCCCAAAAGAACCUCAUUGGUCCUUAUGGUUCCACGCCACAAGCUGCUCCCUCCCCUGUUUCGGUAUACCGAACCCAGACUAUCAAGGGAUCAAAUGAAUUAAAAUCCACACUUGAUUACAAAUGAA